RNAcentral lists this long non-coding RNA (273 nucleotides) under Sorghum bicolor (sorghum). Its description in RNAcentral is "long non-coding RNA (SBIC_LNC007650)". Lineage: Eukaryota; Viridiplantae; Streptophyta; Magnoliopsida; Poales; Poaceae. The record is from RNAcentral.
GCCAAAUUGCAGGUGUGUAUUCAUGAGUAGUGACUCACAGAUGGUGGAGAUGAGGUUGUAGUUUCUGCGCAUCGCUGGCAUGGUGCUGCCACAGACAGCGCAUCAAGAGUACGUAGACAACCACAUUGGUGACUGGAUGAGUCCUGAGCUUGCUGAUCAACGAUAUUAUCGUAGAUGAUGAAAGCUAUGGACGUUGCCAGUGGAAACACAAUGUUUUGCGCACGUGUUCACCCAAAUCAUCUCGAUCGAGGACGAGCUUGACCUGCCUACUCU